AUGGAUUGGAAUCCAAAUAUACUCUCUUGGAACGUGAGGGGUCUUAAUAACCCUACUAAAAGAAACGCGGUAAGGGAGUUUGUAAUAGAUGCUAGAGUGAACUUGGUGUGUCUCCUUGAGACGAAGCUACAUGUACUGGAUCAAUACUUGGUGAUGCAAUGUAUUGGGCCAUCGUUUGAUGGCUUUGCUUACCUGCCGGCGAUCGACACAAGGGGUGGUAUUCUGCUCGCGUGGGACAGUUCUUUCAUGGAGAUUGAUAACUUCUCCUGGGACUCUAACUUCCUGACGGGGCGUGUGCGUAACAAAGAUGGAUGGGAGUGGUGGUUAUCCGUGGUCUAUGGCCCACAAGGGGAUGAGUUGAAGACUAAUUUUCUGGUGGAGUUGCAGCAUCGGAGAGAUGUUUGCCCAGGGCCAUGGAUGGUCCUUGGGAACUUCAAUAUGAUCUUAAGAGCGGAGGAGAAGAAUAACACUAAUCUCAACAGAUCCAUGAUGAGGAGAUUCAAGGCGUUUGUGGAUAAUAAUGAGCUCAAAGAGCUUUACAUGCACAGGAGGAGGUUCACAUGGUCUAACGAGAGAGAGAAUGUGGUGAUGACCAAAAUUGAUCGUGUACUGGUUUCGGUGGAUUGGGAGCUCUACUACCCGGAUGUUUUACUCCAAGCUUUAUCCACGAACAUCUCGGACCACGCCCGCUUCACCUUUCCACGGCGGCUCUGUUUUGUGCCAAGAAGAGGUUUAGGUUUGAAUUGUACUGGACCAGGCUUGAGGGUUUUGAGCAGGUGGUGCAGGAAGCAUGGGUGUGCGCCGAGGACAUUAUAG
Molecule: ribosomal RNA, 816 nt
Filed under: Triticum aestivum (bread wheat)
Lineage: Eukaryota; Viridiplantae; Streptophyta; Magnoliopsida; Poales; Poaceae
Description: partial small subunit ribosomal RNA
Source: RNAcentral